RNAcentral lists this transfer RNA (66 nucleotides) under Macropsis hainanensis. RNAcentral's name for it is "tRNA-Cys". The record is from RNAcentral. Lineage: Eukaryota; Metazoa; Arthropoda; Insecta; Hemiptera; Cicadellidae.
AGGUUUUAUAGUUUAAAGAAAAUAUUAAAUUGCAAGUUUAAAGAUGUAUAAAUACUAAGACUUACC